Neofelis nebulosa (Clouded leopard) is the source of this 1507-nucleotide long non-coding RNA. RefSeq lists it as uncharacterized. The transcript has 2 exons. Lineage: Eukaryota; Metazoa; Chordata; Mammalia; Carnivora; Felidae. The record is from RefSeq and is a predicted model, not a curated record.
UCUCCGCCCUGCGCCCACAGCUCCAGGCCAGGUAUUACAUACAUCUCUCCUUCUCUUCUUUAAAGGCGCCCAUUCACUGAUGUUUCCCAGCCUCUGGAUGUAAAAGAUGAAGCUUCGGGAAAAGCAGAAUACAAUGAAUGAGACGGGAACAAGCAUGGCAUGUCCGGGAGACCCACAGAGCCUCCGCACCUUCCACAAAGUACCGGGUGAUACGGGAGUUAGAUUGGAGCCUUGAUAGAUGAGAGCCUCUCUGCCUUGGAAAUGCAAUAUGAAACGAACCCGUGUGGCAGUCCUGGACACCGUUUGUCCGCCUACAGGUCUAUGAAGAUGUACACAUUUGUCUGCGGAGCAGCAACUCCUACUUUGGAAGCCGACUCAUUUCAAAUGGACAGCCCAGGAAGUACGCCUCUGAAGAGCUCAAUCUGGACACACGGUGGCUUAGAAGAACCCACAAAAUGCCAGACCCACAAACUGUAAUCCUUAAAUGAAACUCAUCGUUCAGCAGAAAAACAAGUUAAGGGUGGUAAUUCAAUGAUAGACGAAACAGGCCGGAACAGGUUCAAAUGCUGCAUAUUUCACAACAGAGCUUAAUUAAAAUAGGACUAUGAGGCUGUUAAUUGCAUUAUAAUAGUUCAGCAUGAAAUUAGGUCUGAUGUGAAUGUCCUUAUAGUGGAUUUGUUUAUGUUAUUAUAAUUACACAGUGGUACAUACAUUUACUGCAUAGAUACAUUUUUAAGAGGCCGGCUCUUGGGGGUGGAUUUCUUUUCUUUCCUCACUGGAAUUUGCACUCUAUUUACAAGUGAGGAAAGUCGUCAAGAGGGAACCAGGGUCAGGAAAUUAGGUCAUACUGGAUAAUCCAUUUGGUCUCUUGGGUAUUUAAAGCUUAGAACUCCAAAUAAGUUGUGUCUUGUUGAUGGUGAUUUUAUUCACCAUUUCAUUGGGAGAGACUAUGUCACUAAAAAACUAGGUCUCAGUAAGAUGCGUGUUUUGUGUUGUCUUAGAAAGCAACACUUUUCUUUAGAAUCAAUGAAUGCAAAUGUAUGACUAAAUGUGUCUGUAGUACCACAAUAUCAUGUAUUCCAGCGUAGAUUUUAAAAAAUGGCAACAUUUCCAAGAUUUGGGUCUAGUAAAAAAUAGUAAUUCUUGUUCACAGGAUGGAAAAAACACGGCAGGACUUAGUUUGGUUUUCCAAAUAUAAAAAUGGAUUAACAUUUUUCCUUGAUUCAUCCGUAAUUUCCACUUUCUGGACAGAGACAUACUUGGCUCCCAUAAAAAUCUCACCUAUGACCUUGGCUUAAACACUAAACACUGAGAUACUAUCAGAAGUUUUGGAAGCAAAUAUUACACAUUUGAUAAUGUUUUCAAUUUUCAUCAAGAUCUUUUUAUUUCCAUGCAAACUAUAGAUCUCAGCAAUUUUGCAACUUUCUUCAUUUUGUAUGUUGCUCUGAAAUAAAAGGGCAAAAAUUAAUAGAAGAUUACCCAUAAAUAAAUUAGGUAAGCAAGACGA